GCAAAGGACAGUUUACAAAGAUGUGAAUCUGAAUGACAUCUAGGAAUGUUCAUUAUAAACAAUAAGUUCAACUUUCAAAUGAUUCUGGUUUUGUAGGAAUCUUUCCAAGAAAGUUGGUUAAAAUGAUGUGUCUGCCUGUGAGGCCAGUUCUAUGGAAAACAAACACACCCCGAGUUCUUUAUUGAUGGCUUUAGUGGAGGCAGAGCAGUACGUUCAAAACAAGUGGGAGGCCCUGAGAUCGCAGGAAUGGAAACAGAGUUCUGGCUGGGGGGUGGCCUGUCCACUGCCCACCCCUUCCCGGAGAUGCACUCCUUUCUGGCUUUCUGGGGAGGGAGCAACCUUGCUCAGUGGUGGGAGCAGCUUGAAUGGGACCUAAUCAACACCCAGGAAGACUGUGCACAGAGGGCAGUUGGUCUCUAGCCUUCAUGGUGGUGGUGGGCAGGCGCCUGCCUGAUGUAGACUACAUUUGAUGCAAAACAUCAAGUAAAGGGUGGAGCAUAAUACAGUGAAUAUGCCUCCCAGAAACAUCAUCCUCUGCCCAUUUUAACAGGGCUCUUUAUCUUUAGAAAAGUCUCCUUCUCUAUAGAAACCAGGGACAAUUUUGGAUGAGAGCCAACCACAGGACAUGCUGGGGACCUUAUGGGGGGACCUCACGUGUGGCCAGGUGCACCUUUGGGAAGAAGGCAGAUGUGAUGUGACUUAGCACAGGCACUCGAAAGAGGGAGCCAGCCACUGGUCUUUGCUAAUAUCCAGAAGCGGAUUGUUUGUUCCAUUCAUCUUUCUAGAAGUUAAAUUAUUUCAUUGCCUUGAGACGUCACUAGAUCUUGAAGCACUUGCAAACUAGAAGCUUGCAAGAUCAAUGUCCAUAUAUAUUUUUAAAUGAUAUGCAUGGUUUAAAAGGACCCUAAUUUCUGAGUACAUGGCUUCCCCAAAGAAACAGUAUAUAUUCUGGAGAUGAUGGGGGUUUCGGCAUGGAGAGGGACUCCUGUCUAGUCUAGAAAUGUGUGUUACUUACAUGUCUCUUCCAUGUACCUAUCUCAAGAAUAUUUCUAGUUUGGCUUUAAACACUACCCAGGCAGGAAGGUGGCUUUGGUAAGAAUUUUGAAGUGGAUGAAAUGUUCUAGUGAACUUAGGACAGCGUGCGUGUGCUUGUGUGUGUGUGUGAAGAAAUAGCAAAAGGGGAAGUGGGAGAAACAGUAAGGAAGAGUUUUCAAUUAAAAAUAUAUAUGUCUAAGAGGAGACUUUAUUUUCUGUUUCUGGUGGUCAUGUUCUAUGUUCUAGAAUCCAUUUCCCAGAAGAAGAGUUUGUAGGUCUUUGGUUUGAAGUGGAAUUGUGCAGUGCCCUACUCUCUUUGACAGUGCACAGUCUUGCGGCAAAGUGGUCUCCCAGGCCCCAGAGACCCCCCGGGCACCUGGCAGGAGCCGACAAACCACGGCAGAGUCCCAAGUGGUGUGUGUUUUGGCGAGUGAUGGGCAGGACUGAUGAUUCACAGCUGUGGGACUGUGCUAUUGUUUUUACCCUCUUGUACUGCUUCUAAUAAAAGUCUCGACUUUACAUGAGUUGUGAGAGCAGCGUCUUACGAUGUGACAGGCAAGAAGACAUUCCCCGCAUCAAAUGUAAGAGUUUAAUGAUAAGAGUGGAGUGGAUAAGUGAAUUCUCCCAAGAGUACUGUUUUUUGUUUCCCUUUUAAAAUGCUUUUGUGGUACAUAAAUAAUAUAAUACUUUUUUUAAAGAAAUUCCAGAUGAGUAAAAAAAAAAAAAA
Long non-coding RNA from Macaca fascicularis (crab-eating macaque), 1762 nucleotides. NCBI's taxonomy places the organism in Eukaryota, Metazoa, Chordata, Mammalia, Primates, Cercopithecidae. The record is from Ensembl.